AGGGUUUGAUCCUGGCUCAGAAUCAACGCUGGCGGCGUGCCUAACACAUGCAAGUCGAACGCGAAAGGGGAGCAAUCCCUGAGUAGAGUGGCAAACGGGUGAGUAACACGUGGGUGACCUGCCUUCGAGUGGGGGAUAACGUCCCGAAAGGGGCGCUAAUACCGCAUGACAUCCUGCUCUUGGACGAGCGGAGAUCAAAGCUAGGGAUCGCAAGACCUGGCGCUUGAAGAGGGGCCCGCGCCUGAUUAGCUAGUUGGUGAGGUAACGGCUCACCAAGGCGACGAUCAGUAUCCGGCCUGAGAGGGCGGACGGACACACUGGGACUGAGACACGGCCCAGACUCCUACGGGAGGCAGCAGUGGGGAAUUGUUCGCAAUGGGCGCAAGCCUGACGACGCAACGCCGCGUGGAGGAUGAAGAUCUUCGGGUCGUAAACUCCUGUCGAAUGGGAAGAACGGUUCGCGAAUGAAUAAGUCGCGAAAGUGACGGUACCAUUAAAGGAAGCCCCGGCUAACUCCGUGCCAGCAGCCGCGGUAAUACGGGGGGGGCAAGCGUUGUUCGGAAUUACUGGGCGUAAAGGGCUCGUAGGUGGCCAACUAAGUCAGACGUGAAAUCCCCAGGCUCAACUUGGGAACUGCGUCUGAUACUGGAUGGCUUGAAUUCGGGAGAGGGAUGCAGAAUUCCAGGUGUAGCGGUGAAAUGCGUAGAUAUCUGGAGGAAUACCGGUGGCGAAGGCGGCAUCCUGGACCGAGAUUGACACUGAUGAGCGAAAGCUAGGGGAGCAAACGGGAUUAGAUACCCCGGUAGUCCUAGCCCUAAAC
This 820-nucleotide ribosomal RNA is filed under the name uncultured Acidobacteriota bacterium. RNAcentral describes it as "bacterial SSU rRNA". It matches the Rfam family "Bacterial small subunit ribosomal RNA", at positions 8 to 807 of the family's 1533-position model. Lineage: Bacteria; Pseudomonadati; Acidobacteriota. The record is from RNAcentral.